Molecule: ribosomal RNA, 233 nt
Filed under: uncultured bacterium
Lineage: Bacteria
Description: partial 16S ribosomal RNA
Rfam family: Bacterial small subunit ribosomal RNA
Source: RNAcentral
CGGGUGAGUAACGCGUGAGGAACCUGCCUCAAAGAGGGGGACAACAGUUGGAAACGACUGCUAAUACCGCAUAAGCCCACAGCUCGGCAUCGAGCAGAGGGAAAAGGAGCAAUCCGCUUUGAGAUGGCCUCGCGUCCGAUUAGCUAGUUGGUGAGGUAACGGCCCACCAAGGCGACGAUCGGUAGCCGGACUGAGAGGUUGAACGGCCGCAUUGGGACUGAGACACGGCCCAG